RNAcentral lists this ribosomal RNA (412 nucleotides) under Burkholderia cepacia. RNAcentral's name for it is "partial 16S ribosomal RNA". Lineage: Bacteria; Pseudomonadati; Pseudomonadota; Betaproteobacteria; Burkholderiales; Burkholderiaceae. The record is from RNAcentral.
CCCGUAAUUACUUUGAGUUUUAAUCUUGCGACCGUACUCCCCAGGCGGUCAACUUCACGCGUUAGCUACGUUACUAAGGAAAUGAAUCCCCAACAACUAGUUGACGUCGUUUAGGGCGUGGACUACCAGGGUAUCUAAUCCUGUUUACUCCCCACGCUUUCGUGCAUGAGCGUCAGUAUUGGCCCAGGGGGCUGCCUUCGCCAUCGGUAUUCCUCCACAUCUCUACGCAUUUCACUGCUACACGUGGAAUUCUACCCCCCUCUGCCAUACUCUAGCUUGCCAGUCACGAAUGCAGUUCCCAGGUUGAGCCCGGGGAUUUCACAUACGUCUUAACAAACCGCCUGCGCACGCUUUACGCCCAGUAAUUCCGAUUAACGCUCGCACCCUACGUAUUACCGCGGCUGCUGGCACA